This 271-nucleotide ribosomal RNA is filed under the name uncultured archaeon. RNAcentral describes it as "partial 16S ribosomal RNA". It matches the Rfam family "Archaeal small subunit ribosomal RNA", at positions 477 to 747 of the family's 1478-position model. The record is from RNAcentral.
CAGCGCCACGAGUGGUAACCACGUUUAUUGGGCCUAAAGCGUCCGUAGCCGGUUUAAUAAAUCUUUUGUGAAAUUGUACAGCUUAACUGUACAGCGUGCAAGAGACACUGUCAAACUUGAGACCGGGAGGAGUCAGAAGUAUUCCAGAGGGAGCGGUAAAAUGUUAUAAUCUCUGGAGGACUACCUGUGGCGAAGGCGUCUGACCAGAACGGAUCUGACGGUGAGGGACGAAAGCUAGGGGAGCGAACCGGAUUAGAUACCCGAGUAGUCC